RNAcentral lists this ribosomal RNA (454 nucleotides) under uncultured soil bacterium. Its description in RNAcentral is "bacterial SSU rRNA". It matches the Rfam family "Bacterial small subunit ribosomal RNA", at positions 26 to 459 of the family's 1533-position model. The record is from RNAcentral.
AGGAUGAACGCUGGCGGCGUGCUUAACACAUGCAAGUCGAACGAUGAAGCCGGAGCUUGCUCUGGUGGAUUAGUGGCGAACGGGUGAGUAACACGUGAGUAACCUGCCCUUGACUCUGGGAUAAGCACUGGAAACGGUGUCUAAUACCGGAUACGAGCUUUAGCCGCAUGGCUAGGAGCUGGAAAGAAUUUCGGUCAAGGAUGGACUCGCGGCCUAUCAGGUAGUUGGUGAGUAACGGCCCACCAAGCCUACGACGGGUAGCCGGCCUGAGAGGGUGACCGGCCACACGUGGACUGAGGACACGGCCAGACUCCGUACGGGAGGCAGCAGGUAGGGAAUAUUGACACGAAUGGGACGCGAAGCCUCGAGUGCAAGACAACCGCCGCGGUGGAACGGGACGGACCGGCCGUUACGGGUUCGUAAACCGUUCCGUUUAAGUAAGGAAGGUAAGACG